AUGAACGUUGGCGGCGUGGAUUAGGCAUGCAAGUCGAGCGAGAACCCCGCAAGGGGGGACAGCGGCGAAAGGGACAGUAAUGUGUAGAUUAUCUGCCCUCAGGUCCGGGAUAGCUGCGGGAAACUGCAGGUAAUACCGGAUAACAUCUCCGGAUCAAAGGUGUGAUUCCGCCUGAGGAUGAGUCUGCAUCCUAUUAGCUAGUUGGUGGGGUAAUGGCCUACCAAGGCAUUGAUGGGUAGCAGGUGUGAGAGCACGACCUGCGUCAUUGGGACUGAGACACUGCCCAGACACCUACGGGUGGCUGCAGUCGAGAAUCUUCGGCAAUGGGCGCAAGCCUGACCGAGCGACGCCGCGUGUGGGAUGAAGGCCUUCGGGUUGUAAACCACUGUCAGAGGGGAUGAAAUGCAGGUGGGUUUUCCCAUCUGUUUGACAUAGCCUCAGAGGAAGGACGGGCUAAGUUCGU
RNAcentral lists this ribosomal RNA (463 nucleotides) under uncultured bacterium. RNAcentral describes it as "bacterial SSU rRNA". It matches the Rfam family "Bacterial small subunit ribosomal RNA", at positions 29 to 506 of the family's 1533-position model. The record is from RNAcentral.